GCUGAGGUGGCGUAACCGGUAGCCGCGCGGGUCUUAGAAGCCCGUGGAGAAAUCCGUGCGAGUUCGAGUCUCGCCCUCAGCACCA
This 85-nucleotide transfer RNA is filed under the name Acidobacteriota bacterium. RNAcentral describes it as "Acidobacteria bacterium (soil metagenome) tRNA-Leu". It matches the Rfam family "tRNA". From Rfam's summary of the family: Transfer RNA (tRNA) molecules are approximately 80 nucleotides in length. Their secondary structure includes four short double-helical elements and three loops (D, anti-codon, and T loops). The record is from RNAcentral. Lineage: Bacteria; Pseudomonadati; Acidobacteriota.